RNAcentral lists this ribosomal RNA (253 nucleotides) under uncultured bacterium. Its description in RNAcentral is "partial 16S ribosomal RNA". It matches the Rfam family "Bacterial small subunit ribosomal RNA", at positions 524 to 776 of the family's 1533-position model. The record is from RNAcentral.
UACGGAGGGAGCUAGCGUUGUUCGGAAAUACUGGGCGUAAAGCGCACGUAGGCGGCGCAGCAAGUCAGGGGUGAAGUCCCGGGGCUCAACCCCGGAACUGCCCUUGAAACUGCAGUGCUAGAAUCUUGGAGAGGCGAGUGGAAUUCCGAGUGUAGAGGUGAAAUUCGUAGAUAUUCGGAAGAACACCAGUGGCGAAGGCGACUCGCUGGACAAGUAUUGACGCUGAGGUGCGAAAGCGUGGGGAGCAAACAGG